GGACUACUGGGGUAUCUAAUCCUGUUUGCUCCCCACGCUUUCGCGUCUCAGCGUCAGCAACGAUCCAGAGGGUCGCCUUCGCCGCCGGUGUUCCUCCUGAUAUCUACGCAUUUCACCGCUACACCAGGAAUUCCACCCUCCUCUAUCGCGCUCCAGCCAGCUAGUUUCCGAUGCACUUCCGGAGCUGAGCUCCGGGCUUUCACAUCAGACUUGACCAACCGCCUACACGCCCUUUACGCCCAGUCAAUCCGAACAACGCUCGCACCCUCCGUCUUACCGCGGCGGCUGGCAC
Molecule: ribosomal RNA, 292 nt
Filed under: uncultured bacterium
Lineage: Bacteria
Description: partial 16S ribosomal RNA
Source: RNAcentral